This 254-nucleotide ribosomal RNA is filed under the name uncultured bacterium. RNAcentral describes it as "partial 16S ribosomal RNA". It matches the Rfam family "Bacterial small subunit ribosomal RNA", at positions 524 to 776 of the family's 1533-position model. The record is from RNAcentral.
UACGUAGGCAGCAAGCGUUGUUCGGAAUUACUGGGCGUAAAGGGCUCGUAGGCGGCCAACUAAGUCAGACGUGAAAUCCCUCGGCUUAACCGGGGAACUGCGUCUGAUACUGGAUGGCUUGAGUUUGGGAGAGGGAUGCGGAAUUCCAGGUGUAGCGGUGAAAUGCGUAGAUAUCUGGAGGAACACCGGUGGCGAAGGCGGCGUCCUGGACCAACACUGACGCUGAGUGAGCGAAAGCCAGGGGAGCAAACGGG